UGGCGAACGGGUGAGUAAUAUAUCGGAACGUACCCGGAAAUGGGGGAUAACGUAGCGAAAGUUACGCUAAUACCGCAUAUGCCCUGAGGGGGAAAGCGGGGGAUUCGCAAGAACCUCGCGUUUUCGGAGCGGCCGAUAUCGGAUUAGCUAGUAGGUGAGGUAAAGGCUCACCUAGGCGACGAUCCGUAGCUGGUCUGAGAGGACGACCAGCCACACUGGAACUGAGACACGGUCCAG
This 237-nucleotide ribosomal RNA is filed under the name uncultured bacterium. RNAcentral's name for it is "partial 16S ribosomal RNA". It matches the Rfam family "Bacterial small subunit ribosomal RNA", at positions 96 to 334 of the family's 1533-position model. The record is from RNAcentral.